This is a long non-coding RNA of Prionailurus viverrinus (fishing cat), 348 nucleotides long. RefSeq lists it as uncharacterized. NCBI's taxonomy places the organism in Eukaryota, Metazoa, Chordata, Mammalia, Carnivora, Felidae. The transcript has 3 exons. The record is from RefSeq and is a predicted model, not a curated record.
CUCUUGACAGCCUAUUAAGAUUUACAAAUCUCCUUUCAUAAGUGAACUGUUACUGAAGACAACUUCAUAAAUGAAUACAGAGUGACAACUAAAGUCAUCAAACGGCUCUGUAAUUAUUGGAUUAAGGGAAAAUAUGGACAGAUUAUUUGAGACACAUGACAAGGAACAAUAUUGGAAAAAAUACAUAAAACCAGGAAUACGGUCAUGAAAAAUGUCUACCAUCAGAAGCAAUAGACUUGAGAAUGAAACUUCUGCAUCAGUAUAUGCUGUCUUUGCAUCUAAAAUGAUCUGUGAAAGAAUAAAGUCAUACUUCAGCUGCUGCUGUGUUUAAUCUAUCAGCAUUCAGAC